This is a long non-coding RNA of Pseudopipra pipra, 9077 nucleotides long. RefSeq lists it as uncharacterized. The transcript has 3 exons. The record is from RefSeq and is a predicted model, not a curated record. NCBI's taxonomy places the organism in Eukaryota, Metazoa, Chordata, Aves, Passeriformes, Pipridae.
GCUUCCCUCGCCUGGAGCGAGCAGCGGGGCGGGGCCCGUGGGCACCGCGGAGGAGGGGGCAGCCCGGACUGAGACGGGGACGGGCCGAGCGGAGCUCUACUGAAGCCAGGAUUGCUGAACACUGGCCCCUGUGAUCCUCUACAAGCCUGAGGCGAACUGCUCUCGCCACCCUCUCUCUGCUUCCCUUCUGGCGAACUAGAGCUGCCGUCUAGAUAUGGGCAUACUUAGCUGUCGCUAUUCUCUGACGCACACACCCCCAGUUCUUAAAACGGGAGCACACCAGUUCAGCUCACUCAGCAUCUUGUGGGAGCAUGAUACUGAUGACAAAAGAUCAAACUUUUCAUUUCACUCAAGCAUUUGUAAAGAGGCUUUCAAGGGUAAUAUUUAGCACACUUAUCAUGGCUGCCUGCAUCUACCACUUAUGCAACAUCUUUCUAUAGUGAGCGAGCUAGGUUUGUACAUAUUCCUCAGAGGAAUCAAUAUUGAUCUCUAGAUCUGCGGACCAUGUUAAAUCUUCCAUCAUCUGGACCUUGAUGAAGACAUUGAAACUUUUAACUCCUUGAUCAGUGCUCUGAUGAAACACAGUAUUUCAGGCUUUCUCAAUCUUUCUACUUUGAGAGCUUUACAACAGAAUAAUAAAAUAGUCAUUAGAGCAGCAGUAGAGUUUAAGUGUCAGUGUCACUGGAAUGAAUUCACUCUCUUGGGUAAAGUUUCCAUGUGAAGCGCUCUUCAAAGAGAAUGGAGCUGAGCACUACUCAUUUUAGAUUUGAGAAUUUGGGGCUGUGAUCAGGUCAGGUAACAAGGCACUUUAUUAGGUGAGUUAUUUAAGGGCAGGGUUCUGCAGAAAUAUAUGACACUAUAUCUGAAAGAAAUUAAUAGCUAAGAUGUUUUUAGAAGAGUUCAGUGUUUCUUUUGACUCUUCAUGCUUAAGUGAAAAUGUUAUCAAAAUUUUGUUUUAGCAUUGACAAUGUCGAAAUUUUCUAGUUGUUUUGACAUCACAGAAUCAUUUAGGUUGGAAAAGACCUCCAAGAUCAUCAAGUCAAAUUUUUGACCAACCUCCACCUUGUCAACUAGACUGUAGCAAAGUUCCACAUCCAGUUGUUUCUUGAACACCUCCAGGAAUGGUGACUCCUUCAUGGGCAGCCAUUUCCAGUGCUUUCCAUUAAGAAAUUCUUCAUAGUCCAACCUGAAUCUCCCCUGGUGCAGCUUGAGGCUGUGUCCUCUUGUCCUGUCACUAGUUGACUGGAAGAGACCAAUCCCCACCUUGCUAUAACCUCCUUUGUAGUUGUAGAAAAUGAUAAGGUCCCCCUGAGCCUCCUUUUCUCCAGGCUUAACACCCCCAGCUCCCUCAGCCACUCCUCAUAGUGCUCUUAACUCUUCACCAGCUUUGUUGCUCUUCUCUGGACACACUCUAGUACCUCAAUGUCCUUGAAUUGUGGGGCCCAGAACUGGACACAGAACUCAAGGUGCUGCCUCACCAAUGCUGAGUAGAGGGAGGUGAUCACUGCCCUGGUCCUUCUGGCCACACUAUUUCUGAUACGAGCCAGGAUGCCAUUGACCUUCUUGGCCACCUGGGCACACUGCUGGUGUAUGUUCAGAUGGCUGUCGACCAGCACUCCCACAUCCUUUUCUCCUGGGCAGCUUUCCAGCACUCUUCCCCCACGCUGUAGAGCUGCAUGGAAUUGUGAUCCAAGUGCAGGACCUGGCACUUUGCCUUAUUGAACCUCAUAAAAUUGGCCUCAGCCCAUCAAUCCAGCCUGUUAUACUCCCACCCAACUUAGUAUUGUCCAUGAACUUACUGAGAGUACACUUGAUUGCCUCAUCCAGAUCAUUAGUGAAGAUAUUAAACAGGACUGGGCCCAACACUGACCCUUGGGGAACACCACUAGUGAGUGGCCACCAACUGGAUGCAGCAUCAUUCACCACCACUCUCAGGGCCUGGCCAUCCAGCCAGUUCUUCAACCAAGCAAAGAACUGUCCAAGCCGUGGGCUGCCAGCUUUUUCAGGAGAAUGCUGUGGGAGACAGUUUCAAAGGUUUUACUGACAUCCAGGUAGACUACAUCUGCAGCCAUCCCCUCAUCCACUAGGAGGGUCACCUGGUCGUGAAAGGAGAUAAGGCUGGUCAAGCAGGACCUGCUUUUCCUAAACCCGUGUUGGCUGGGCCUGAUUCCCUGGUUAUCCUGUACAUGCUGUGUGAUUGCAGUCAAGAUAAUCUGUUCCAUAACCUUCCCAGGGACCAAGGUCAGGCUGACAGGCCUGACCUCCUUCCCUGCAUCCUCCUUCUGACCUUACUUGAGGAUGGGCAUCACAUUGGCCUACCUCCAGUCAUUUGGGACCUCCCCAGUUAGCCAGGACUGAUUAUAAAUGACAGAGUGGUUUGGUGAGCUCUUCUGCCAGCUCCCUCAGUACCCUCUCAUGAAUCCCACCUGAACUCAUAGACUUUUGAGUGCCUAAAUAGCUCAGCAGGUCACUAAUGACUUCCUCCUGAAUUAUACAGGGAUUCUAAUCUGCUCCCUGUCCCUGUCUACCAGCUCAGGGGGCCAGUUGCCCUAAGGAUAACUGGUCUUACUGUUAAAGACUGAGGCAAAGAAGGCAUUAAGCCUUUUUCUCAUUCUUGCUUACAAUGUUCCCCACCAUGUCCAAUUAAGAAAUUUUCCUUGGCCCUCCUUUUGUUGUUGAUGUAUUUAUAAAAACCACUUUUUAUUAUCUUUCUCAGCAGUGGCCAGAUUGAGUUCUAGCUGAGCCUUCACCUUUCUAAUUUUCUCUUUACAUGACCCAACAACAUCCUUGUCCUCUUUCUGAGCUUCCUGCCCCUUCUUCCAAGGGUCAUAAACUCUUUUUUUCCUUGAGUUCCUGCAAAAAUUCCUUGUUCAGACAGGCCAGUUUUUUUCCCCAAUGGCUCAUCUUUUGGCACAUAGGGAUGGGCUUCUGCACCUUUAAGAUUUCCUUCUUGAAGUAUGUCCAGCAUUCCUGGACUCCUUUGUUAUUAAUGACUGUUUCCACCUGCUGGAAGUCCAGAGUAGAUGUUCUGUUGACCCCCUUCCUUAAUUUCACCAAGAAUUGGAAACUCUUAUCAUUUUGUCAUCGCUAUGCUCAAGAUGACCUCCAGCCCCCCCAUCUCCCAGCAGUAGGUUUCUUCUCUCUCUCUUUGUAAACAGCAGGUCUAAUGUGGCAUCAGCCCUGACAGGCUCACUUACCAGCUAUAUCAGGAAGUUACCUUCUACACAGUCCAGGAACCUCCUAGACUCCCUUCUCUCUGCUCUGUUGAGUUUCCGGCAGACAUCUGGCAAGGCGAAGUAUCUCACAAGAACAAGGGCUAGGGAUCAUGAAACAUCAGCCAGCCUCAUUCAGAAUACUUCAUCUGCCUCUUCAUCCUAGUUAGGUUGUCUGUAAAAGACCAGGAUGCCUACUACCUUGUUAGCCUUCCCCCUGAUUCUUACCCAUAGGCACUCAACCUUAUCAUCACUAUCGUUGAGCUCUGUACAGUUGAAACACUCCCUAAUGCACACUUCUUCUAAAACAGCUCGUAAGUUUUAAUGGUUCCGACUCUGAAUACAGGCAGAAUUAGGCAAGUAAACUUAUGAAAAUUUUGUAUUGCCAUUUUAUUUUUUUAUGUUAUAUUCCCAUUCCUUGACAACAAGAAAAUAUUUUAAAGUUCUGUUUUAACUCACACUACAAAAACUAGUUAUUAAAAAGCUAGUUAUUUUCCUUCAGAAAAAUAAUUAAUCUUACAAUUUUAAAUAGGCAAUAUUAAAUAAUAAUGUAAAUUAUAUGCUUUUUUAAAAAUUGCACUUAACUUGAUUAGGCCAAGUAGAAGAGUGAUUGUAGGGUAUGGAAUUCCAAGUUCUACUUCAUUAUAUAUCCAGUAACGAGCACAUCAGAGUUCAGAAGAUGCAUGGGGAUGGGAAGGCACUAGGAAGGGCAGACUGGAUCUAAAAGAGAAAGGUUAUAAAUCUGGAAUUUAAAAAGCCCUGUGAGUUCAACAGUAGACUUAUACAGAGCUAAGAUGUCUGUGCCAUGAAGUCUGAGUCACAGAGACUUUGAUAUCUUUUGUUGAUGAUAAAACAGAAAACUGGAGACUUGGUUAGCUGUGAAACUCCUCAUUGCUGAAUGGGGCCAUUUUAAAAGAAUUAAAUUAUGACUGCAGGGUUAUUGUGUUUAUUUAGCGGAACUGAAAUAGUCAGCAGCACAUAAACAUGAUUUCUUUACUGUUGCUUAUAGAGAUAACAUAGACUGUCCUUCCUGGUUUUCAUGAAUGAAGAACAGAAAGAAUCAGGUGCUAACGUUCCCAAAAAAAUACUCAGGUGGUCCUUAAUAGCACAAAAGUGUCAUCCUUUCACCACCAGUAUCUGAAGGCAAUAUUGAUGAUAGGUGCAAUUAGAGAGACUGCAGAGGAAAUGCCUAACCAUCUUCACAGCAUGUCAAGGUGACAGCAUCAUGGUCUCUGGCACUCUCAAUUUUAUACUAGAAAAGUUUAUUAACUAUAGUAAGUGUAAAAGAAAUCUUUAGACUGGAUAUUAGUUCACCGAAAAAGAGUUAUCAAGCAUUGGAACAGGCUGCCCAAUGAAGUGCUUGAGUCACCAUCCCUGGAAGUAUUUAAAAGUCAUGUAGCCACUUAGGAAUAUGGUUUAGUGGUGGACUUGGAAGUGGUAGGUUAGCAGUUUAAUAUGAUGAUCCUAGAGGUCUUUUUCAACCUAAAUUAUUCUACAAUUUAAUACUUUAAUGUUACUCCAUGGAAAUGUGCUGCUUCUACCUAUCAUACAGAGAGCUACUUCCUAUGCAAAAACUUCUGUGCAGUCUUUCAGUGGAUUCUCUUGUUUCAGAUGCUCUUGCUGAUUUCAGAUUCUUGCGGUGUUCUCCUACUGACAAUCUAACAUGAAAGGUUAGAAGUACUUCACACCUGUAGAAUGGAAACACAGACAAAUAGGAUCCCACUCUUUUCAGUAGAAAGAAAACACAUCAGGAUGGAAGUAUAAGCUUCACUUUUUCUUGCUUCCUGUCCCCAGCACCCUGGCAUGCAAUAAUGGCAGGGAAGCAACUCAUUUAACACAGACUUGAAACAGCUAUUUUAUUUAGACAUUAGCAGGCAAGCAUAUUGUAAUUUUGUUACUAUAAAUAACAUUACAGCAUUAUAGAAAAAAAUGGCUUGCAAGGGGCCUCUAGACAUCUGUAGUCCAACCUGCUUGAAGUGGAUUUAACUACAAGCUAGAUCGGGUUGCACAAGGUCCUGUCCAUGUGAUUUUUUAAAAACUCCAAGGGUGUAGAUCUUACCAUCUCUCUGGCCACCCUGCUUAACUGUUAUAAGAGUGAAGAAUCAUUUUAUCCUCUCCAGUCAGAAUUUCUGUUGUUUCAGUUUGAGUCUGUUGCUUCUUGUUUAAUUGUGCAUCUCAGAGAAGAGCUUGGCUCAUUUUUCUCUAUAAACCCCCUUAGAUAGUUGAAGAUAGGAAUGAGAUUUAGUCUUCUCUUCCUUUGGCUGGAUAAACCCAGUUAGAUUAGCCUCUCCCUGUAUAUAUUAUGGGUUCCCUUAGUGGCCCGUUCCUCCAGCUUGUCAACGUCAGUGUGAAUGACAGGCCUUUCAUGUGCUCCCUGCAAUUUUGUGUCAUAUGCCAACUUGCUUAGGAUCCUUCUGUCCCCUUUUCCAGGUCAUUGAUGAUGAUGUUAAACAGUGUCAGCUUCAGUGUUGACCCUUAAGAAAUUCUGUUUAACUAGGCUUCCAGUUAGAUGAUUACUUGCAGUUAGUCACAGAGGAGUUGUUUACCUUUGGCUGUCUGGUAUAACUGAACCUUUUCCUAUUUUACUUCUCUCUCUUCCUCUCUCCCUCUCACUCUCUAUACAGAUAUGUACGUACACACACAUACAUUCUGCAGAAUUAUGAGUUUCUGUUACAUAAAUUGACAGUAAAGGAAUUUGACACAGGUAUGCUAUUUUUUGCUCUUCUCUAUUUUCACCUUUUUCAGGUUUUUCCUCUAGUGUAAGACAUAUCCAGACACACCAGUUGAACUUAUCUCCUGGGUUAUCACUGAUGCAUAGUAUUCAGAGUCCUAAAAAUAAAUAUAUAGGAGUUUUUUCAGAUGAGUGUACUGCAGGAUGCAAAAAGCUUCUGUUUGCUGUAGUCUAAUGGACAUUGUGUAGGAAUAUGGGAGAGUCCUAGUUCAGGGUGAAGAUGAUAUAUCAUAUUCUUAUCUUCCUUCUCAAGCUUUCUCCUUCUUUACUGUAUUUUCUGAGUGCAUAUCUCUUCAAUACUGUAAUACCUCUUUUUUAGAUCUGAUUUGUCAGAUAUUGGAAAGCAGCUCUGUUACCACAGGCUACUCAUCAAUUCAGAGACACGCUUUCUUCUGAUUAUGAAAGUAACUCAGAGAGGGGCUUUGCUUCUUCAUUCUGUUACCAUGACAUCAAAGACUUUUUCUGUAUAAUUUCUGAAGUAUCAUUCUUAGUGCCUCUUCUCAGUAUUGGGAUAACAUCUAGGUGUUAAAUUAUCUGGCAUUGGUGGUCCUAUAUAGUUUUACUUCAUGCAGUGAAUUCUUUUACUUCGUUUCCUCAAAGAAUGAUAAGUGGUAGAGAAAGGAGGGUAUACUGGUUGCAAUGAUCUAUUUAAAAUCCCUCACAAUUAAACAUUAAGAUCUUUCCUUUUUAAAGAAAGCUUAAUCUUAUCAUAGUAAAUUGUGUGACACAACAUUGGUAAGAAUCCUCUUGUAUUCUUCUUCUUGAAAUUACAUAAAGUAGGAAAAGUUGACUAGAAAUCACGGAGAUGUGACUUCUCAGUGCUAGAUCCACUACAUGCCAGGUGUACAUGUGACAGAUGCAAUGGAGCAAGUGCCUUAUGGUUAGAAGUGUAGUUAACUGAAAAAUAUAUGUAUGGUAAGCCAAAUAUGUUGGGUUUUGUGUGGACAUUGGAGAUGCUUUGUGUUCAUAUUGGGCAUCUCAGCAGCACUGAUCAAGAUUUUCCAGGCAGAACAAUGGAUGCUUGGAAACUUUGUAGCAAGAUAGAGUUUAUAGCUAAAUUCCUCCCCCAAAAUAUGUUGCCUGCAGUAAGCGCAUCAGAAGUUAGUUGCCAGGAGUCCUUUAGCGUAAAAGCCUGUGGUCCUACUUGCUUCACUAAGGAUGCCAUACUAAAAUAAUACCUACUCUAUACCUGCAGACUGGGGAUCUGUGCUUAGUUCCUGGUAACACAAUGUGCUGCCUUUAGGUGAUGCACAUUGUUACCUCAUUUGCUGUUUUCCAAACUGUUGAGGAAUAUAUCUGGUCUAGGUAGCUCAUCUUGCAAGCUGCAGAUUGAAAUGCAGAUUGGCGCCUGAGACAAGAGGCUGUGAACUGCUGACCUUUCGAAUAAUGGCUGUGCCAUGAAUAAAUUACUUCAAUGAACUAGACAUCUGAGACUCUGCUAUGGGAAACCUGGGGUCAAACCAAUGAGGAAACCUUGUCUGACUGUGUGAGUGGGGUGUGCAGGGAGUAAAGCCGAGCACCUGUUGGUUCACUGCAGCCGCCUGCUGUGAAGGGGCUUCGGUCCCAGCAGUUAAAGUGUCUGGUGUUGAGAGUGUGACUGCCAGAGUCUCACAAAUGUUCACUGUGAAGUUUCCUUAAACACAAACCAGACAGCUUUCAGCACCUCCUUAGGCCUAUGGGUUACCUGCUGCUUUCUUCCUCCUAGGACAGCAGAGCUGCUUCUUGCUGAAGGGUUCAAACCAAGGUGCAAGUUCUUUGGAGCGCUGUGGGACUGGUCCACUAUCUAUCUCAGCAAUGUGUAGAAGGGAACAGUUGCUGUAGGCCACCUCUCUUUGUCCGGGUAAAAGGGCUGUGUGGGGACUUCAGAACUUGUCUUCCAUAAGUAGGAAGAACACUGUUAGGACCUGGGACACUGUCAGAGUUUGAGCCACCCCUCUGGGGGCCAGGGGGCUGGAAAUGGUUGGUCCCAGCUGAGUUUCCGGUUAGGGGGCCAAUCGCAGCUGUUUUUUUCACUCUUGUGAAAUUAGAUGCCAUAACAGCCGGAAGUUGUUGGCAGAGUGUGAGAGUGUCUGAGAGAGAGAGAGAGAGAGAGAGAAGCCAAGGGGUGGCCAGGGGCCCCCGCAACCCAGGGGGCUCCUUGGCCCCCGCCAGGGCUGGAUGCAGUGUGUGGCAGUGAGUGUGUGUGUUGUGAGGGAGAGAUUCGCAACCACGAGGUGAGAGGAGGGAGGCCUCCAGCCCCCUAUGCCAGGGGGGCCAGGCCCUCUUCCCCCGCCGGCUAGGCUGAGGGGAGCUUGGGACAGUUUAUAACUGGACCGAGUACCCGUGGCCAAGGCUAGGGGGCUCUUUUUUUCUUCCUCCACUGCCCAGGGAGGCAGUGGUGUGGACAUAAGGCUCAGUACUGGAGCUGAGCCAGGAGACGGGACAAAGGGUUCGGAGGUGCCCUACGUGGGUUUGGACAAGGGCAGCCAAAAACUGAAAGCUGCAGCAGCUAAGGAAGAGAGGAAGCCAAACCAGCAGGCUUUUUCUGGCUCAGGAGGAGACCUCAGCAGGAGCUGAGGGCUGGUGGGGGUGCAAGAGACCCCUUUCCCAGAUACCCCAAUGAGAGAGAGACUUAUCACUAUCGCCUUGAAGACUUCUUCUUAAGUGAUGUGGGAGGGUCCAAGGGGUGUUAGGGAUUGUGUUAGUAUUGUGUAUAUUAUUGCUUUUUAGCUUCUGUAGUAUUUAUCGUGUAUAGUAAUAAAUUGUAUAUAAUCCCCUUCCCCCAUACUGAGUUGUGCCUGUCUGGAAAUUUCUCUUCGGUGUUGAGGUAAAUUGGGGGAGGGGGGCUUGGAAAUUCGAAAAUGGAUUUUUAGAGGGCUCAAACCACGACAGACACCAGGAGAAAAGGCAAGAUCAGCUUGUGCUAUGCACCUCGGAAGUCAGAAGUGGGUACAGAAUUUCAACAUCUGAAAAGUUAUCUCUGAGGCUCCCUGCUGGGCCACUGUCUUUUGACUGACACUGACCAUUCUGUUAACCAGUACCAUGUUAUUAGUACCCCACUACUAUGGUUUUUAGCUUCAAACUUGUUUGGAUCAGCAGGGCACCCAUACUUGGUAGUUCAAGUGCAAUGUAACUUUUUUUUUGAUAUUUUACUC